UGUCUUUUAGAAAUUAAUUUAAAGUCUAGCCUGCCCACUGAAAUUUUUUAAAUGGCCGCAGUAUCCUAACUGUGCAAAGGUAGCAUAAUCAUUAGUCUUUUAAUUGGAGGCUGGUAUGAAUGGUUGGAUGAAAUAUUAACUGUUUCAUAAAAAUUUAUGAUAGAAUUUUAUUUUUUAGUUAAAAAGCUAAAAUAUAAUUAAAAGACGAGAAGACCCUAUAAAUCUUUAUAUUUUAAAAAUUACAGUUAUAUAGAUAAAUUAAAUUUUAAUUUUUAAAAAUAUUUUAUUGGGGUGAUAUUAAAAUUUAAUAAACUUUUAAUUUGUGAUAUACAUAAAUUAAUGAAUUUUUGAUCCAUUUAUUAUGAUUAAAAAAUUAAGUUACUUUAGGGAUAACAGCGUAAUUUUUUUAGAGAGUUCAUAUUGAUAAAAAAGAUUGCGACCUCGAUGUUGGAUUAAGAUACAGUUUUAGGUGCAGCAGCUUAAACUUAAAGUCUGUUCGACUUUUAAAUUCUUACAUGAU
RNAcentral lists this ribosomal RNA (520 nucleotides) under Myriophora juli. RNAcentral describes it as "partial 16S ribosomal RNA". The stretch from base 389 to 520 matches the Rfam family "Bacterial large subunit ribosomal RNA", at positions 2473 to 2604 of the family's 2925-position model. The record is from RNAcentral. Lineage: Eukaryota; Metazoa; Arthropoda; Insecta; Diptera; Phoridae.